UCCGCCAUAGCUCAGUUGGUAGUAGCGCAUGACUGUUAAUCAUGAUGUCGUAGGUUCGAGUCCUACUGGCGAAG
Molecule: transfer RNA, 74 nt
Filed under: Streptococcus pneumoniae
Lineage: Bacteria; Bacillati; Bacillota; Bacilli; Lactobacillales; Streptococcaceae
Description: tRNA-Asn(gtt)
Rfam family: tRNA
About the family: Transfer RNA (tRNA) molecules are approximately 80 nucleotides in length.
Source: RNAcentral